Molecule: long non-coding RNA, 677 nt
Filed under: Helianthus annuus (common sunflower)
Lineage: Eukaryota; Viridiplantae; Streptophyta; Magnoliopsida; Asterales; Asteraceae
Description: hypothetical non coding rna
Source: RNAcentral
UUGGUAUAGAGGCGACCGGGGAGACAAGUUCACAAACAAAUGAUGAUCUAUGUCAAUAUUGCAUUCUGGCCGGUUGUCACAGAGUAGUGUUGGCCGGCUUGGAGGCAAAGCAUUAAGCUCCCAAGGUAAGUGAGUAAUCUGAAUAAUUUCUGCAGCAGUUUUGGCCAUCGCUCGAUAGACAGAUUCAAACCAAAGGCUGCUUCUUAGCACUCCCUGAUCAUACAAGACUCCCACUCAAGUAAAUAGAUUAAGCAUAUGUAAUCAACUAGUUUAGUGGUCAAAGGUUUAUCAAGUAUUUAUCGGUUCUUUUUAUUUCACCAUAUGUUAAACCCUAAUUCAAAACAUCAAAAUGACAAAAUGGAAAAAUCAAUACACGAAUAAGAAUAUAAGAUCGAGAACGAGAUAUUGACCUAGAAUUUCAUUUCCAAACCUAACAUUACCCUAACCUAACUGCCAGGAUCUCAAAAUUCAACGAGUAUUUACCUCGCAACUCAAAAUAUGCGUACAUACCAUCUCACUCAUUGUACCGAGAAUCAAAAUCGGUGGACACAAAACCACCGUAAACCAUCGUGCUACCACCGCCAUUUGCUCAUUCACGCGGGAAAAUAUUAAAAGUCGGUAGAUAUUUGUUUCAGGAAUUGUCAAACCUGACCCUGCCUCUACUCUCUUUUAUUAUU